GGCGCUUUGGGAUGGGCCUGCGGCGCAUCAGGUAGUUGGUGGGGUAAUGGCCUACCAAGCCGACGACGCGUAGCUGGUCUGAGAGGACGAUCAGCCACAGGGGUACUGAGACACGGACCCCACUCCUACGGGAGGCAGCAGUUAGGAAUCUUCCGCAAUGGGCGAAAGCCUGACGGAGCGAUACCGCUUGAAGGACGAAGCCCUUCGGGGUGUAAACUUCUGAACUCGGGACGAUAAUGACGGUACCGAGGUAAUAGCACCGGCUAACUCCGUGCCAGCAGCCGCGGUAAUACGGAGGGUGCGAGCGUUACCCGGAUUUACUGGGUGUAAAGGGCGUGUAGGCGGUCUCUCAAGUCCGAUGCUAAAGACCGGGGCUCAACCCCGGGGGUGCGUUGGAUACUGUGAGGCUAGACGGUC
This 417-nucleotide ribosomal RNA is filed under the name Meiothermus sp. MS01. Its description in RNAcentral is "bacterial SSU rRNA". It matches the Rfam family "Bacterial small subunit ribosomal RNA", at positions 214 to 650 of the family's 1533-position model. The record is from RNAcentral. Lineage: Bacteria; Thermotogati; Deinococcota; Deinococci; Thermales; Thermaceae.